Molecule: ribosomal RNA, 448 nt
Filed under: Evaniella sp. DERV025
Lineage: Eukaryota; Metazoa; Arthropoda; Insecta; Hymenoptera; Evaniidae
Description: partial 16S ribosomal RNA
Source: RNAcentral
AUCAAAAACAUGGUUUUCUGGGAAAAUAGAAAAUCUGGUCUGCUCUAUGAAUUAAUUUAAAUGGGCUGCAGUAAUUUUGACUGUACUAAGGUAGCAUAAUAAAUAGCUUAUUGAUUGUAAGCUUGGAUGAAAGAUUUAAUGAAAUAUAAACUUUAUUAAAUUAAAAGAAAGAAUUUUAUUUUUGAGUAAAAAAGCUUAAAUAUUAAUGGGGGACGAGAAGACCCUAUAGACUUUUAUAGGUGUCUGUAUUGAUUUUAUUUAAAUAGUGGGAACUAAACGGGAGUUAUUUAGAUGGGGAAUCUUAAAAAUAAUGAAAUUUUUUAAUUUAAAGACAUGAAUGGAUGAUUAAAUGAUAAGAAAGAGAUGAGUAAAACAGAAGUACCUUAGGGAUAACAGCAUAAUAUUUUUAUUUAGAUCUUAUAAAUAAGAGUGGUUGUGACCUCGAUGU